RNAcentral lists this ribosomal RNA (654 nucleotides) under Triticum aestivum (bread wheat). RNAcentral describes it as "partial small subunit ribosomal RNA". The record is from RNAcentral. Lineage: Eukaryota; Viridiplantae; Streptophyta; Magnoliopsida; Poales; Poaceae.
AUGCAGGAGGGAAGAGUUGUUUCAUAUGCCUCACGACAGCUUAAGCCCCAUGAGUUGAAUUAUGCUACACAUGAUUUCGAAUUAGCAGCCGUAGUGCAUGCAUUGAAGACAUGGAGACAUUUUCUCAUCGAAAAUCAUUGUGAGGUGUACACGGAUCAUAAGAGUUUGAAGUACAUCUUCACACAGAAGGAGUUGAAUCUCAGGCAAAGGAGAUGGUUGGAGCUCAUCAAGGAUUAUGAUAUGAGAUUGCAUUAUCACCCCGGAAAGGCUAACAUAGUAGCCGAUGCGUUGAGCCGCAAGAGCCAUGUCAACACACUCUUGACCGGAGAGUUACCGAAGGAGUUAGCCGAGGACCUUCGUGAACUAUGUUUGGAGAUAGUUCCGAGAGGCUAUGUUGCAGCAUUGGAGAUUCAGUCGACUUUGAUGGAUAAGAUCAAAGAAGCUCAGAAGACUAACAAGGAGAUUGUCGACAUAAAGGAGAGGAUGAGCAAAGGAAAAUCUAAAGGAUUUCGUGAGGAUGAGCACGAUACCUUAUGGUUUGAAGACCGUGUUUAUGUGCCCAAUGACCCGAAGAUCAGGAAGUUGAUUCUGCAAGAGGCCCAUGAUUCGCCGUACUCGAUUCACCCAGGAAAUACCAAGAUGUAUCUGGAUUAG